Molecule: ribosomal RNA, 99 nt
Filed under: Acanthosepion pharaonis
Lineage: Eukaryota; Metazoa; Mollusca; Cephalopoda; Sepiida; Sepiidae
Source: RNAcentral
GAGUCUGCACUGGUUCCUGUACGAUCACCGAAGUUAAGCAACAUGUAGCCUGGUCAGUACCUAGAUGGGUAGCCGCUUGUGAAUAACAGGUGCUGUAAG